CCUUGACAUACUAAGAACUUUCCAGAGAUGGAUUGGUGCCUUCGGGAACUUAGAUACAGGUGCUGCAUGGCUGUCGUCAGCUCGUGCCGUGAGAUGUUGGGUUAAGUCCCGCAACGAGCGCAACCCUUUUCCUUAUUUGCCAGCGGGUCAUGCCGGGAACUUUAAGGAUACUGCCAGUGACAAACUGGAGGAAGGCGGGGACGACGUCAAGUCAUCAUGGCCCUUACGGCCAGGGCUACACACGUGCUACAAUGGUCGGUACAAAGGGUUGCUACCUCGCGAGAGGAUGCUAAUCUCAAAAAGCCGAUCGUAGUCCGGAUCGCAGUCUGCAACUCGACUGCGUGAAGUCGGAAUCGCUAGUAAUCGCGGAUCAGAAUGCCGCGGUGAAUACGUUCCCGGGCCUUGUACACACCGCCCGUCACGCCAUGGGAGUUUGUUGCACCAGAAGUAGGUAGUCUAACCGCAAGGAGGACGCUUACCACGGUGUGGCCGAUGACUGGGGUGAAGUCGUAACAAGGUAAGCGUAGAUGA
This 531-nucleotide ribosomal RNA is filed under the name uncultured bacterium. RNAcentral describes it as "bacterial SSU rRNA". It matches the Rfam family "Bacterial small subunit ribosomal RNA", at positions 979 to 1509 of the family's 1533-position model. The record is from RNAcentral.